Rattus norvegicus (Norway rat) is the source of this 1447-nucleotide non-coding RNA. The record is from RefSeq and is a predicted model, not a curated record. NCBI's taxonomy places the organism in Eukaryota, Metazoa, Chordata, Mammalia, Rodentia, Muridae.
GCCACAUGCAGCACUACUGGCCUCCCCCAGCUGCGUGUCAGAUGUGAAAAGAAGCACUUCCUCAGACGCUGUGCCAGUUGACUGGUAUAUCUACCCAUGAGGCUUUCCUGGUCAAGUAUCAACUGACCUUCACGGGCUGUUGCAGUCCAGAGCUUCCGUCAGGAGAAGUAACUACAACAAAGCUCCCAGGAAGGCCUUGGAGCUGUGGGCAUGCCGUGCAGACAUGUGCAAGCUCUGCUGUGCUGUGCGCAGGCCCAGCACGUCUCAGCACAAGCUCACCACAGCCACAGUGAGCUGCGAAGGCCGCUCCUCCCACUCACUCACCAGCAGCAUCUUCACUGGCAGCAGGUAGAUCAGAAUCAUCCUCUUGUUCUUCUGGCUGGAGCGAUGGCAGUGCUCAAAGGCAAACGACAGGUACUCCUCAGCUGCAGAGAGCGGACCCCUCCCAUGAGAUCCGAGCGCACAGCCCGCAUCUUACCCUCUGACUGUUCCACCACCAUGGCCUUUGUGCAAAAGGCAGCUUUCCCUCCGGAAACUCUGGCAGCAACCCUGCCUCAUUUUCAUACGGUGACUUUUCUUAUGUAAAAUCCACAGCCCCAAAUUCAACAAGAAUUUGCCUGGGUGUCCUUGGCUUGCCAUGGUGGUCAGAGGUGGCAUAGUUAACAGGAAACUAUGUAUAUUAAUUCCUGUUGAGAUUCUAAUUUGCUACUGUCACCUGCACAUCAGCAGAUUACUGUUAAAUCUGGGAAACACAAAUGCAACAUCUGUAAAACACUGCCAGGACUCAGGUGAGAAAACCGGCUGUGGGCAGCACACAGUGUCACUUAAAACCACCGCGCUUAACCAUGAUCUUAGCAACCUGUAAUCUAAGCCUGUCCUGCCCACACCUAAUAGAUUUAAGAAUACAGAAAAUAAAUAUUCAGUUGGCCAAAGGCCAUGCCCUCAGGCAGACUGUGCAGUAACAGCCAGCAUGGAUCUCAGAGGUUACCCCACUACUGAGACCUGUUCAGCUGAGAGCAGAAAGCCUUUCCUCAGGGGCAAAGCCUCAAGGUCAGAGGAGAGCGGUGUUGGGGGUCAGACCUGUACCUGCUGUGGAGGUCUCUCCUGGACUGUUAGGCCACAACUAUGUUGGGAAGCACAGGUGCCCUCACACAGACUAGAGUCUGGCGUUGAGGAAGUCUGCACUGAGAGCCACCUCUGAUCCCAAAUAGUGUGGCUCUGCCAAAGUGAAGCUCUCACCUCACACCUGGAGGUAACCACCACUGGGGCAGGCCUGUGUCACCCACCCCAAACUGUCUCAUAGGAAGCCCGCAGAGGUGCGGCUGUCAGGGAAGACAACAGCUGGUGCAUCACUCCAGUCAGCACAUUCCUACUGUGGCCUUUAGGGGACACUGUGGUGGGGAGCCCAAACCCAAGAAAACAUACAUGGGCAGCAACAUUGACCUGU